GAUGAACGCUGGCGGCGUGCCUAAUACAUGCAAGUCGAGCGAACGGACGAGAAGCUUGCUUCUCUGAUGUUAGCGGCGGACGGGCGAGUAACACGUGGAUAACCUACCUAUAAGACUGGGAUAACUUCGGGAAACCGGAGCUAAUACCGGAUAAUAUUUUGAACCGCAUGGUUCAAAAGUGAAGGACGGUCUUGCUGUCACUUAUAGAUGGAUCCGCGCUGCAUUAGCUAGUUGGUAAGGUAACGGCUUACCAAGGCAACGAUGCAUAGCCGACCUGAGAGGGUGAUCGGCCACACUGGAACUGAGACACGGUCCAGACUCCUACGGGAGGCAGCAGUAGGGAAUCUUCCGCAAUGGGCGAAAGCCUGACGGAGCAACGCCGCGUGAGUGAUGAAGGUCUUCGGAUCGUAAAACUCUGUUAUUAGGGAAGAACAUAUGUGUAAGUAACUGUGCACAUCUUGACGGUACCUAAUCAGAAAGCCACGGCUAACUACGUG
RNAcentral lists this ribosomal RNA (497 nucleotides) under uncultured bacterium. RNAcentral's name for it is "partial 16S ribosomal RNA". It matches the Rfam family "Bacterial small subunit ribosomal RNA", at positions 28 to 507 of the family's 1533-position model. The record is from RNAcentral.